AUAAAAUCAGGUAAAAAACUGAGUUUGUGACUUUCAUUUUCCUACAUAGAGGGACAGAGAGAACAUCACUCGGGGACUGAACCUCAAAGCAGAAAGAUGAGAGUCACCAGCAUGCUUCUCCUUGUCACAUUGGGGCUGCUUGCAGUGUGCCAGGCUAGAUCAGGGAACGAAAGGGACUGCAAGUACGAUCACCAGCGCUUCGGUCACGGGACCGCCUGUGAGGACAAUUGCCAGAACUAUAAAGAGGGACCGAGACCCUGCACAAAGGAAGUCGUACAGGGCUGCUUCUGCAUGAAACCAUACAUCUUCCGGGACGGGCAGCGCGGCCCCUGCACCCGCCCGGAGGAUUGUCCAAAUUAAAUGACCGAAUGCCGCAAAUAAUCUGCGUCUGACGCCGGCCCAACGGCGGCACAAACCGGAGUAUGACACAAGAGAAAACAUUGUAUGUACCAAUAAAGACCCGCACUGUACAUCCUGC
Molecule: long non-coding RNA, 478 nt
Organism: Rana temporaria (common frog)
Lineage: Eukaryota; Metazoa; Chordata; Amphibia; Anura; Ranidae
Exons: 4
Source: RefSeq, a predicted model, not a curated record